Molecule: ribosomal RNA, 671 nt
Filed under: uncultured bacterium
Lineage: Bacteria
Description: bacterial SSU rRNA
Rfam family: Bacterial small subunit ribosomal RNA
Source: RNAcentral
AUAUAUCGGAACGUGCCCAGUCGUGGGGGAUAACGUAGCGAAAGUUACGCUAAUACCGCAUACGAUCUACGGAUGAAAGCGGGGGAUCGCAAGACCUCGCGCGAUUGGAGCGGCCGAUAUCAGAUUAGGUAGUUGGUGGGGUAAAGGCUCACCAAGCCAACGAUCUGUAGCUGGUCUGAGAGGACGACCAGCCACACUGGGACUGAGACACGGCCCAGACUCCUACGGGAGGCAACAGUGGGGAAUUUUGGACAAUGGACGCAAGUCUGAUCCAGCCAUUCCGCGUGCAGGACGAAGGCCUUCGGGUUGUAAACUGCUUUUGUACGGAACGAAAAAGCCUUGGCUAAUACCCAGGGUCCAUGACGGUACCGUAAGAAUAAGCACCGGCUAACUACGUGCCAGCAGCCGCGGUAAUACGUAGGGUGCGAGCGUUAAUCGGAAUUACUGGGCGUAAAGCGUGCGCAGGCGGUUAUAUAAGACAGAUGUGAAAUCCCCGGGCUCAACCUGGGAACUGCAUUUGUGACUGUAUAGCUAGAGUGCGGCAGAGGGGGAUGGAAUUCCGCGUGUAGCAGUGAAAUGCGUAGAUAUGCGGAGGAACACCGAUGGCGAAGGCAAUCCCCUGGGCCUGCACUGACGCUCAUGCACGAAAGCGUGGGGAGCAAACAGGAUUA